GGAUCUUGGACUUGGGCUGGCACAGAGAUUGUGGUCCUACCCAGGCAGAGGAAGGAUGAGCUGCUUCUAGGAGCUGUUCCUAUCUCAACUCUUUGGAAGAACAAAGGACAACCCUUCAAUCCUUCCUUAUGAUUCCUGAUGAUCUGAAGUGCAGUUUGAGCAGAUCUAAUUAUCCCUGCUGUCUAUAGCAUCAUUCCUUGAGUAAUGGAUCUCCAGAGAACUCCUCCUCCUCUCUCUUUCUGGGUUAUGAUCUAUUGCAUGUCAGUGCAUCAUCAAAGCAAAUUGCCUCUUCAAUGAUGUCUCCAGCAAGAAUGACACCUCCUCCUACCAUUUCUGAAAGCGUGGGCUCUUUGAGCAGGCUGUGGUUUAUGUCUCUGGUUCUUAAGGCCAAAAGAAGAAAAAUAAGCUAAUUUAUGUUGACGAUGACAUGUGGCUGAAAAAAUCGACUUCACUUUCAUUUCUGAAUGGCAGUUUGUCU
This 478-nucleotide long non-coding RNA is filed under the name Monodelphis domestica (gray short-tailed opossum). RNAcentral's name for it is "lncRNA (ENSMODG00000038373.1)". The record is from RNAcentral. Lineage: Eukaryota; Metazoa; Chordata; Mammalia; Didelphimorphia; Didelphidae.